Brassica rapa (field mustard) is the source of this 1067-nucleotide long non-coding RNA. RefSeq lists it as uncharacterized. The record is from RefSeq and is a predicted model, not a curated record. NCBI's taxonomy places the organism in Eukaryota, Viridiplantae, Streptophyta, Magnoliopsida, Brassicales, Brassicaceae.
UCAUAAAUUUCACAUUCCAAAAACCCUACCACACCCCUCAACUCUAAACCCUAAGUCUAGAUUAGUUAAUCCUAAGGGUAUAAUUGUCUUUUACCCUUCAUUAAAAGUGAGGGUAAAAGUGGUUAGUGUAAACUUGAAAAGUGGUACUAAGAAUGUGUUAUUUGUGGCAAUUUCCCAUAUAUUAAUUGAGAAGCCACUUAAUUGACUUUUGAUUAUGUGUCUUUAAUAGGUUAAGUUUUAAAAAAUAGCUAUAAUUUGAUUGGUUGUUAACAUUUAUUAGUUAUUAUUUUAAUCAUAUCUAAAAAUAAAAGGUAACUCUAAAACUAAUUAAUACAAAUUAUCAAAUAACAUAAAUGAUAUUACAAAUAAUGAUUUAUGAUAAUUAAUUGUAGAAUUAGAGAAAUAUUAUAUAUGUUUUAUUAAUUUCUUAAUUUUUAUCAAUUAGUUAUAUAUAAUUAAAUAAAAUACUUUAGCAUUUUUAUAGAAAUAAAUUUAAUGGUUGUAUAUUAUUAUAUAAAAUAAUUAUAUUUGUAGGUAAGGAAUUAUUAUAAUUUUUAUGUUUUUAAAGCCCACACAAAACCGUUUACAAAGAUAUUUCAUAAUAGAAGCUCUCGAUCAUUGUAUUGGUCAUAUCGUAGUUACAAAAAAAAAACACUAUCUUUUUCUCUCUUUCUUGAGAGCUAGAGUAUUUUUGGUUUUUCAUGUGUUAAACUAAAAUAUAAAGUAAUGCUACAACUAAUCAUCUGAAUUAAUUAUAAUAUUUUUUUCUGUAAGAAAAAUAAUUUUAAUGACUAAGGUUUAUGUUUUUGAACUAUUUUAAAUCUCACAUAUCUUCUAAAAAUAUAUACUAAAAAUUUUUAUUAUCCAAAUAUUUGAAAUUAAAAAUUACAAUUUUAAAUUUCUAAUUAUUAUUCAAAAAUUAUAACAACGUAAAGAUAAAAUAUAUUUUUAUAUAAUUUAAUUAUCCGCAAAAUUACGGAUAAACACCUAGUAUUCAUAAUAUGCAUAAGCCAUAAGUAUUCUAGAACAUCUUAUUUUAAAAAACCUAGGAAAUAUAAGGUAAAUAA